This 67-nucleotide transfer RNA is filed under the name Guayaquila pallescens. RNAcentral's name for it is "tRNA-Leu". The record is from RNAcentral. Lineage: Eukaryota; Metazoa; Arthropoda; Insecta; Hemiptera; Membracidae.
UCUAAUGUGGCAGAACCACAUGUGAUGAAUUUAAAAUUCAUUUAUAAAUAUUUAUAUUUCUUUAGAA